AGCAACAAAUGCCCUGCUUCCAGGAAAAGCCUCUAAGCCUCAGGUAACAUCAAAUCGUACCCCAAACCGACACAGGUGGUCAGGUAGAGAAUACCAAGGCGCUUGAGAGAACUCGGGUGAAGGAACUAGGCAAAAUGGUGCCGUAACUUCGGGAGAAGGCACGCUGACACGUAGGUGAAGUGGUUUACCCAUGGAGCUGAAGUCAGUCGAAGAUACCAGCUGGCUGCAACUGUUUAUUAAAAACACAGCACUGUGCAAACACGAAAGUGGACGUAUACGGUGUGACGCCUGCCCGGUGCCGGAAGGUUAAUUGAUGGGGUCAGCGCAAGCGAAGCUCCUGAUCGAAGCCCCGGUAAACGGCGGCCGUAACUAUAACGGUCCUAAGGUAGCGAAAUUCCUUGUCGGGUAAGUUCCGACCUGCACGAAUGGCGUAAUGAUGGCCAGGCUGUCUCCACCCGGGACUCAGUGAAAUUGAACUCGCUGUGAAGAUGCAGUGUACCCGCGGCAAGACGGAAAGACCCCGUGAACCUUUACUAUAGCUUGACACUGAACACUGGUCCUUGAUGUGCAGGAUAGGUGGGAGGCUUUGAAGUGUGGACGCCAGUCUGCAUGGAGCCAUCCUUGAAAUACCACCCUUUAAUGGCUGGUGUUCUAACGUGGGCCCCUGACCGGGGUUGCGGACAGUGUCUGGUGGGUAGUUUGACUGGGGCGGUCUCCUCCUAAAGAGUAACGGAGGAGCACGAAGGUUGGCUAAUCCUGGUCGGACAUCAGGAGGUUAGUGCAAUGGCAUAAGCCAGCUUGACUGCGAGCGUGACGGCGCGAGCAGGUGCGAAAGCAGGUCAUAGUGAUCCGGUGGUUCUGAAUGGAAGGGCCAUCGCUCAACGGAUAAAAGGUACUCCGGGGAUAACAGGCUGAUACCGCCCAAGAGUUCAUAUCGACGGCGGUGUUUGGCACCUCGAUGUCGGCUCAUCACAUCCUGGGGCUGAAGUAGGUCCCAAGGGUAUGGCUGUUCGCCAUUUAAAGUGGUACGCGAGCUGGGUUUAGAACGUCGUGAGACAGUUCGGUCCCUAUCUGCCGUGGGCGCUGGAAGAUUGAGGGGGGCUGCUCCUAGUACGAGAGGACCGGAGUGGACGCAUCACUGGUGUUCGGGUUGUCAUGCCAAUGGCACUGCCCGGUAGCUACAUGCGGAAGAGAUAAGUGCUGAAAGCAUCUAAGCACGAAACUUGCCCCGAGAUGAAUCUUCCCUGAGCCUUUAAGGCUCCUGAAGGAACGUUGAAGACGACGACGUUGAUAGGCCGGGUGUGUAAGCGCAGCGAUGCGUUGAGCUAACCGGUACUAAUGAACCGUGAGGCUUAACCUUACAAC
RNAcentral lists this ribosomal RNA (1365 nucleotides) under Salmonella enterica. RNAcentral describes it as "partial 23S ribosomal RNA". It matches the Rfam family "Bacterial large subunit ribosomal RNA", at positions 1589 to 2925 of the family's 2925-position model. The record is from RNAcentral. Lineage: Bacteria; Pseudomonadati; Pseudomonadota; Gammaproteobacteria; Enterobacterales; Enterobacteriaceae.